GGUGAUGGGAUCAGUGGGAUCGCUGGUGUGGAUGGGAUCAUCACUGGGAUCCAUGGGAUCAGUGGGAUCGUUGGGAUGGAUGGGAUCAUCAGUGGGGUCAUGGGAUCGAUGGGUGACAUGGGUGGGAUCAAUGGUGGGAUCAAUGGGAUGGAUGGGAUCAUUGGGGUCAUGGGUUCAAUGGGUGAUAUGGGUGGGAUCAUGGCUGGGAUCAUCAGCGGCAUCCAUGGGUUCAGUGGGAUCAGUGGGAUGGAUGGGAUCAUCAGUGGGGUCAUGGGAUCAGUGUGAUCGCUGGUGUGGAUGGGAUCAUCACUGGGAUCCAUGGGAUCAGUGGGAUCGUUGGGAAGGGUGGGAUCAUCAGUGGGGUCAUGGAAUCGGUGGGUGACAUGGGUGGGAUCAAUGGUGGGAUCAGUGGGAUGGGUGGGAUCAUUGGUGGGGUCAUGGGAUCGAUGGGUGACACGGGUGGGGUCACCAGUGGGAUCAUCGGUGACAUCAGUGGGAUCAAUAGGAUCACUGGAAUGGAUGGGAGCAUCUGUGGGAUGGAUGGGAUCAUCAGUGGGGUCAUGGGAUCAGUGGGAUUGCUGGGAUGGAUGGGAUCAUCACUGGGGUCAUGGGAUCGAUGGGUGACAUGGGUGCGGUCAUGGAUGGGAUCAUCACUGGCAUGCAUGGGAUCAGUGGGAUCAGUGGGAUGGAUGGGAUCAUCACUGGGGUCAUGGGAACAUCAGUGGCAUCCAUGGGAUCAGUGGGAUCAGUGGGAUGGAUGGGAUCAUCAGCGGCAUCCAUGGGAUCAGUGGGAUCAGUGGGAUGGAUGGGAUCAUCAGCGGCAUCCAUGGGAUCAGUGGGAUCAGUGGGAUGGAUGGGAUGAUCAGUGAG
Molecule: long non-coding RNA, 870 nt
Filed under: Gallus gallus (chicken)
Lineage: Eukaryota; Metazoa; Chordata; Aves; Galliformes; Phasianidae
Description: lncRNA (ENSGALG00010010126.1)
Source: RNAcentral